RNAcentral lists this ribosomal RNA (890 nucleotides) under bacterium enrichment culture clone 1g08. Its description in RNAcentral is "bacterial SSU rRNA". It matches the Rfam family "Bacterial small subunit ribosomal RNA", at positions 642 to 1532 of the family's 1533-position model. The record is from RNAcentral.
UAGAGUGCGUUCGGGGCAGAAGGAAUUCCUGGUGUAGCGGUGAAAUGCGUAGAUAUCAGGAAGAACACCGGUGGCGAAAGCGUUCUGCUAGGCCGCAACUGACACUGAGGGACGAAAGCUAGGGGAGCGAAUGGGAUUAGAUACCCCAGUAGUCCUAGCCGUAAACGAUGGAUACUAGGUGUGGCUUGUAUCGACCCGAGCCGUACCGUAGCUAACGCGUUAAGUAUCCCGCCUGGGGAGUACGCACGCAAGUGUGAAACUCAAAGGAAUUGACGGGGGCCCGCACAAGCGGUGGAGUAUGUGGUUUAAUUCGAUGCAACGCGAAGAACCUUACCAAGACUUGACAUCCUGCGAAUCUCGGCGAAAGCUGAGAGUGCCUUAGGGAGCGCAGAGACAGGUGGUGCAUGGCUGUCGUCAGCUCGUGUCGUGAGAUGUUGGGUUAAGUCCCGCAACGAGCGCAACCCUCGUUUUUAGUUGCCAGUAUUAAGUUGGGCACUCUAGAGAGACUGCCGGUGACAAACCGGAGGAAGGUGAGGAUGACGUCAAGUCAGCAUGCCCCUUACGUCUUGGGCUACACACGUACUACAAUGCUACGGACAAAGGGCAGCAAGCUAGUGAUAGCAAGCAAAUCUCGUAAACCGUAGCUCAGUUCAGAUCGAAGGCUGCAACUCGCCUUCGUGAAGGAGGAAUCGCUAGUAAUUGCAGGUCAGCAUACUGCAGUGAAUUCGUUCCCGGGCCUUGUACACACCGCCCGUCACACCAUGGAAGUUGGUCACGCCCGAAGUCAUUACCCCAACCUUUGGGAGGGGGAUGCCUAAGGUAGGACUGGUGACUGGGGUGAAGUCGUAACAAGGUAGCCGUACCGGAAGGUGCGGCUGGAUCACCUCCUU